CGACCGGCGCACGGGUGAGUAACGCGUAUGCAACCUGCCCGUUUCAGCGGGAUAACCCGGAGAAAUCCGGCCUAAUACCGCAUGUGGCCGAGGGGAGGCAUCUUCUUUCGGCCAAAGGAGGCGACUCCGGAGACGGAUGGGCAUGCGUGACAUUAGCUAGUUGGCGGGGUAACGGCCCGCCAAGGCGACGAUGUCUAGGGGUUCUGAGAGGAAGGUCCCCCACACUGGUACUGAGACACGGACCAGACUCCUACGGGAGGCAGCAG
RNAcentral lists this ribosomal RNA (266 nucleotides) under uncultured bacterium. RNAcentral's name for it is "partial 16S ribosomal RNA". It matches the Rfam family "Bacterial small subunit ribosomal RNA", at positions 92 to 354 of the family's 1533-position model. The record is from RNAcentral.